Molecule: ribosomal RNA, 1421 nt
Filed under: uncultured prokaryote
Description: partial 16S ribosomal RNA
Rfam family: Bacterial small subunit ribosomal RNA
Source: RNAcentral
UGAUCCUGGCUCAGAACGAACGCUGGCGGCAGGCCUAACACAUGCAAGUCGAGCGCACCCUUCGGGGCGAGCGGCGGACGGGUUAGUAACGCGGGGGAACAUACCCUUCUCUACGGAAUAGCCAUUGGAAACGAUGAGUAAUACCGUAUACGCCCUUCGGGGGAAAGAUUUAUCGGAGAAGGAUUGGCCCGCGUAAGAUUAGAUAGUUGGUGGGGUAACGGCCUACCAAGUCUACGAUCUAUAGCUGGUUUUAGAGGAUGAUCAGCAACACUGGGACUGAGACACGGCCCAGACUCCUACGGGAGGCAGCAGUGGGGAAUCUUGGACAAUGGGCGCAAGCCUGAUCCAGCCAUGCCGCGUGUGUGAAGAAGGCCCUAGGGUCGUAAAGCACUUUCGCCAGAGAUGAUAAUGACAGUAUCUGGUAAAGAAACCCCGGCUAACUCCGUGCCAGCAGCCGCGGUAAUACGGAGGGGGUUAGCGUUGUUCGGAAUUCCACGGCGUAAAGCGUACGUAGGCGGAUCGGAAAGUAUGAGGUGAAAGCCCGGGGCUCAACCCCGGAACUGCCUUUGAAACUAGAUAGCUAGAAUCUUGGAGAGGUCAGUGGAAUUCCGAGUGUAGAGGUGAAAUUCGUAGAUAUUCGGAAGAACACCAGUGGCGAAGGCGACUGACUGGACAAGUAUUGACGCUGAGGUACGAAAGCGUGGGGAGCAAACAGGAUUAGAUACCCUGGUAGUCCACGCCGUAAACGAUGAUAACUAGCUGUCCGGGCACUUGGUGCUUGGGUGGCGCAGCUAACGCAUUAAGUUAUCCGCCUGGGGAGUACGGUCGCAAGAUUAAAACUCAAAGGAAUUGACGGGGGCCUGCACAAGCGGUGGAGCAUGUGGUUUAAUUCGAAGCAACGCGCAGAACCUUACCAACCCUUGACAUCCUAGGACAACUCCAGAGAUGGAGCCAGCCUUCCUUCGGGACAUAGUGACAGGUGCUGCAUGGCUGUCGUCAGCUCGUGUCGUGAGAUGUUCGGUUAAGUCCGGCAACGAGCGCAACCCACAUCUUUAGUUGCCAGCAGGUUAAGCUGGGCACUCUAUAGAAACUGCCCGUGAUAAGCGGGAGGAAGGUGUGGAUGACGUCAAGUCCUCAUGGCCCUUACGGGUUGGGCUACACACGUGCUACAAUGGCAGUGACAAUGGGUUAAUCCCAAAAAACUGUCUCAGUUCGGAUUGGGGUCUGCAACUCGACCCCAUGAAGACGGAAUCGCUAGUAAUCGCGGAACAGCAUGCCGCGGUGAAUACGUUCCCGGGCCUAGUACACACCGCCCGUCACACCAUGGGAGUUGGGUCUACCCGAAGGCCGUGCGCUAACCUUCGGGGGGCAGGCGGCCACGGUAGGAUCAGCGACUGGGGUGAAGUCGUAACAAGGUAACC